UUAGCUUGCUAAUUUGCUGACGAGUGGCGCACGGGUGCGUAACGCGUAUACAAUCUGCCUUUAAGCGGGGAAUAGCCCAUGGAAACGUGGAUUAAUACCCCAUAGUAUAUAGGAGUCACCUGGCUUUUAUAUUAAACAUUUAUGGCUUAAAGAUGAGUAUGCGUCCUAUUAGUUAGUUGGUAAGGUAACGGCUUACCAAGACCGCGAUAGGUAGGGGUCCUGAGAGGGAGAUCCCCCACACUGGUACUGAGACACGGACCAGACUCCUACGGGAGGCAGCAGUGAGGAAUAUUGGACAAUGGAGGCAACUCUGAUCCAGCCAUGCCGCGUGCAGGAAGACGGCCCUAUGGGUUGUAAACUGCUUUUAUACGGGAAGAACCACAUCUACGUGUAGAUGCUUGACGGUACCGUAUGAAUAAGGACCGGCUAACUCCGUGCCAGCAGCCGCGGUAAUACGGAGGGUCCAAGCGUUAUCCGGAAUCAUUGGGUUUAAAGGGUCCGUAGGCGGAAUAAUAAGUCAGUGGUGAAAGUCUGCAGCUUAACUGUAGAAUUGCCAUUGAUACUGUUGUUCUUGAAUUAUUAUGAAGUGGUUGGAAUGAGUAGUGUAGCGGUGAAAUGCAUAGAUAUUACUCAGAACACCUAUUGCGAAGGCAGAUCACUAAUAAUAUAUUGACGCUGA
Molecule: ribosomal RNA, 679 nt
Filed under: Christiangramia sp.
Lineage: Bacteria; Pseudomonadati; Bacteroidota; Flavobacteriia; Flavobacteriales; Flavobacteriaceae
Description: bacterial SSU rRNA
Rfam family: Bacterial small subunit ribosomal RNA
Source: RNAcentral